Molecule: long non-coding RNA, 207 nt
Filed under: Rattus norvegicus (Norway rat)
Lineage: Eukaryota; Metazoa; Chordata; Mammalia; Rodentia; Muridae
Description: long non-coding RNA NONRATT032791
Source: RNAcentral
CAACAGUGUACUGCUUCACAGCCAUUGACCUUACUGGUAGAUAUCCCUGGAAAGUUUCCAGCUCUCAGUUUACUUGAAAUGACUUUCAUGAAGCAGAGAAAAUUGAUUGGGAAGAAAAUUUGCCAGCGUUCAGCUUGAACAGGUAAUUGAGUUUCUGACUUAAAUCAUAUCUUAUUAACUUCCUUGAAAUAUUAAUCAAGAAAAGUU